This 257-nucleotide unclassified non-coding RNA is filed under the name Hevea brasiliensis (rubber tree). The record is from RNAcentral. Lineage: Eukaryota; Viridiplantae; Streptophyta; Magnoliopsida; Malpighiales; Euphorbiaceae.
GCAAGUCAAGCAUUUAUGGGGCCAGGCUGAGGCAACUAUGGUCUUGUUUGUGCUUUUCUUCAAGCAAUUUUGGGUUGUUGUAAGGUGGAAUGUCAGCAUGAUGCUGCUGCUCAGUUAUUUGCUAAUGACCUUCACCUGCAAUUUCCAGAUUUCUUUCUUGAGGAUAAGCAACUUUGAUGGGGGGUAUUGAUACAAAGCUGAUGCAAAUGUUUACGUGGCAACGUGCAAUGGUGGGUGGGUGUUAAGAUCACUUGGUG